GACAGUUUGCUGCUGAAUAUCAUUUCUUAUCUGGAUCUGGAAGACAUUGCCAGGCUUUCUCAAACAUCACGCAGAUUUGCAAAGUUGUGCAUGUCGGAGGAACUGUGGGAGCAGAUCGUCCGGAGCUCCUGUGACCACAUCACUCCCGACAUGCGAGCCUUGGCCCAGGACAUGGGCUGGAGACGGAUGUACUUCACCAACAAGCUGCAGCUCCAGCGGCACCUCCGCAAGAGGAAGCAGCGGCAGGGAAGCCAGCGAAAGCAGUCAGCUCUAGAUGCACACGUUCCCGCCCCUGGGAAGUAAGAGGCACGGGACCGUAUCAUCAACCUAAAAUCCUGUAAGACACCAGCAACCUCAGUGGUCGAUCAUUCUGCCCCUCUCUCCCGCCUCCAUGGGGAGGCAAUGGUGAUUUUGCCUCUCCGCCUCUGCUGACAGUUUUUUUGUGGACGGAUAAAUCUGCUUCAUUCAUGACACAUCGUUUCAGAGUGAAAUGUCACAGCAGUUUAUACUUUUGUCUUUUUUCGUCUUUUCGCUCAAAAGUGCUUCUGCCUGGCUAUCACUCACCAUUGUAACUGUAAAAGUAAAAUGCUGAUAUUCUCCAGUGACUCAUAUGUUUAGUGUUAUAAAAAUAAUUUAUUAACAGUUGCAUAUGUGAAUAUUUAAUCUAUAGACUAAAGAAAUAUGUAUAUUUUACUCCAUGUCAACUUCUAGUACUGCUUUUUA
RNA transcript from Capra hircus (goat), 723 nucleotides. RefSeq lists it as uncharacterized. Lineage: Eukaryota; Metazoa; Chordata; Mammalia; Artiodactyla; Bovidae. The record is from RefSeq and is a predicted model, not a curated record. The transcript is spliced from 3 exons.